CCUACGGGUGGCAGCAGUGAGGAAUAUUGGUCAAUGGACGAGAGUCUGAACCAGCCAAGUAGCGUGAAGGAUGACUGCCCUCUGGGUUGUAAACUUCUUUUAUAUGGGAAUAAAAUGUUCCACGUGUGGGAUUUUGUAUGUACCAUAUGAAUAAGGAUCGGCUAACUCCGCGCCAGCAGCCGCGGUAAUACGGAGGAUCCGAGUGUUAUCCGGAUUUACUGGGUUUAAAGGGAGCGUAGGUGGAUUGUUAAGUCAGUUGUGAAAGUUUGCGGCUCAACCGGAAAAUUGCAGUUGAUACUGGCAGGCUUGAGUACAGUAGAGGUGGGUGGAAUGCGUGGUGUAGCGGUGAAAUGCUUAGAAAUCACGAAGAACUCCGAUUGCGAAGGCAGUUCACUGGACUGCAACUGACACUGAGGGUCGAAAGUGUGGGUAUCAAACAGGAUUAGGUACCCGAGUAGUC
RNAcentral lists this ribosomal RNA (460 nucleotides) under uncultured bacterium. Its description in RNAcentral is "partial 16S ribosomal RNA". It matches the Rfam family "Bacterial small subunit ribosomal RNA", at positions 338 to 795 of the family's 1533-position model. The record is from RNAcentral.